Non-coding RNA from Paramuricea clavata, 278 nucleotides. The record is from the annotation of a GenBank genome assembly. NCBI's taxonomy places the organism in Eukaryota, Metazoa, Cnidaria, Anthozoa, Malacalcyonacea, Plexauridae.
UCUGGCACCACCCCAGUAAUAAAUAUGAAAAUCCGUCUAUGCUGAAGGUACAAUUUUAGAAGGCUUCGGAUUGAUAGGGAUGCGACAAGGAGAAAGUCGAAGUUCUCCUAUUGUAUUUUUCUGGUAGUUGCAUCCCUAUCAAUCCCAGGCUUUCUUAUCAUUGCCACUAAGUACUGUAGGCUUAUCACAUGUCUGUUAUUAAGAUGAUACAAGCUAAAUAUAUGUAGAUGUACCUAGACUGGCACAAACUAUAGAUAUCUCAUAUCUACAGUAUGGCA